This is an RNA transcript of Oncorhynchus kisutch (coho salmon), 6005 nucleotides long. It is a transcript of the gene named flotillin-2a-like, with no coding region annotated. The transcript has 9 exons. The record is from RefSeq and is a predicted model, not a curated record. NCBI's taxonomy places the organism in Eukaryota, Metazoa, Chordata, Actinopteri, Salmoniformes, Salmonidae.
AGUGGAGGGAAGAGUGGGAGCAGGCGUGACAGGAAACCCCCCCCCCCAGGGGCGCCACCCGGCGUCUAGGGGCGCCAACCGGCCGAGACAUGUGCGCUGGGCAAGCCAACGAACCGGCAGGAGUGAGAGCAGUGAGAGCCUGGCGAGCCGGCUGAGGCAUGGAAGCCAGACAAUCCGACUGAGGCAAGACGCCUGUCGAUCCUUCUGCAGAGAGGGAGCCCGAUGAUCCGGUGGAGAGUGACGUGGGAUGGUAAGCUGCCAGGCCAACCAAGGCAAGGAAACCUCUCGAGCCAGCCAGGGCGUGAAAGCCCGACGGGCUGGCUUAGGCGCCCCCGGUUCCAUCGACGGCGGAAUCCUCCCCGACGUCACCAACAAAACAAAAAAAUUCCUGGACCGGCUGGGUGAACAAGAACUGACGAUCCGGCUGAGACCUGACGUGGGAUGGGCGCCAUCCGAGCCAACUGGGGCAAGGAAACCUCUCGAGCCAGCUAGGGUGUGGAAUCCCGACGAGCUGGCUAGGCACCCCUGGUUCCAUCGGUGGCGACUCAGAGCCGAUGUCAUCAUACCAACCGGAAUGCCAGUACUCCCCGAUGCUUCGUGUGAUGGCGGAUGCAUUCUGUCCCAUGGAAUUGAUGCUGGAGAGACGAAGCAGGUGAAGGUGAUGGUAGACAAUGAGCUGCUGGGCUAUGCCUGUGAACAGUUCCUGGGGAAAUCUGUGAUGGAGAUAAAGAGUGUCAUUCUGCAGACCCUGGAGGGUCAUUUACGCUCUAUUCUCGGUACUCUGACGGUGGAGCAGAUCUACCAGGACAGAGACAGAUUUGCUGCUCUGGUGAGGGAGGUGGCAGCGCCCGACGUGGGCCACAUGGGCAUUGAGAUCCUCAGCUUCACCAUCAAGGAUGUUUAUGAUAAAGUGGAGUACCUGAGUUCCUUGGGCAAGAGUCAGACAGCUGCAGUACAGCGAGACGCAGACAUCGGAGUGGCCGAGGCAGGGAGAGACGCAGGAAUCAGGGAAGCAGAAUGUAAGAAAGAGAUGAUGGACAUCAAGUUCCAAGCAGAUACCAAGAUGGCCGACUCUAAGAGAGGGUUGGAGAUGCAGAAGGCUGCUUUCAAUCAAGAAGUCAACACAAAGAAAGCAGAGGCCCAGCUGGCCUACGAGCUGCAGGCUGCCAAGGAGCAGCAGAAGAUCCGUCUGGAGGAGAUCGAGAUCGAGGUGGUUCAGAGGAAGAAGCAGAUCACCAUUGAGGAGAAGGAGAUUGACCGCACUGAGAAGGAGCUGAUCGCCACGGUCAAGAGGCCGGCCGAGUCUGAGGCCUACAAGAUGCAACAGCUGGCCGAGGGACAGAAGUGAGUGACCAAUCACUGAGCCGCUCCCAGAAUGCAUGGAAAAUAAGGACAAUGUGUAUGCUCGUUCAAAUUCUGGGUGCAACGCAGGGAUGAAGAAGGUGCUGACGGCCCAAGCGGAGGCAGAGAAAAUCCGUCGUAUCGGAGAGGCAGAGGCCGGUUCCAUAGAGGCUAUAGGGAAGGCUGAGGCUGAAAAGAUGAGGCUGAAGGCUGAGGCCUACCAGCAUUAUGGAGAGGCUGCCAAGACUGCUCUGGUCCUAGAGGCCCUGCCUAAGAUUGCUGGCAAGGUGGCGGCACCCCUGGCCCAGACCAAUGAGAUUGUCAUCCUGAGCGGGGACGGUAGUCGUGUGACCGGCGAGGUUAACCGCCUAUUGGCUGAGCUCCCCGUGUCCGUCAACGCUCUCACAGGGGUGGACCUGAUGAAGAUCCCUUUUCUUCAGAAGAUGACCAACCCUCAAGCAUGAAAACAAUCCAAUGCACCCUGACUCCAAUACAUCUCUCUUAUGCACUCUUUAAAUCAACAAGAAACACUUGAAUACAAGAGUUGUUUUUUUACUACGAAAGAGUAGUCGUUCUCAUUUCCUAGACCCCUGGUGCCUUGUCUCCUAUAGGACCAGAUCAUCUGCAUGGGCCACUGAAUGUUUUUCUUUUAAAGAACAAAAAAAGCAACUGUUCAUUUUAUAUUUUGUUUUUAAGAAGUUACCCCCAUUGUGUUGUACUUACACUCCUCUACAUUAUAGAAGAUGGGCAUUCAUCCUGAUUUUUCUGUGCGGGCUUUAUUCUGGUCUGAAAGGUCUCGCCUUGUGUCUUUGUAGUUUUUUUCAUUGUGUUACAAUUAGUACAUUGGAUAUGCCCAUGGUUUUUUACAGUUACUUGUGCAAGUGUUAAGUAUUUCGUCACCCAUUUUUAUUGUUUCAUUCUUAUGUGCCUGUUAACCAACCAAGUGGCCAAACCUCAGGAAAAGUAAUGGUUUGGCAAUUCAAAAAGUUUAGUGAUACUACAGUGAAAUUCAAUGAGAGAUGUAGAAAUGUACUCCCCCAUCCUCAUAUCAUUUGCCCUUUUCUUUACAAGAAUCUUCACUUCAUUCUUCAUCUUGGGUAUGGGAGAGGUGUGUCUUCUUAGGACAAGACAUGCAAGACGCAGAAAUGAUACACAUGAACACGUGUGCAUCGAUCUUCAUGUCUGUAUGAAGCCAUAUACCUUCAAGAUUAGCCUUAAUAUAGAGACCCGGGAGUCCUGCUAGCUUUCCUGAUCAUCUGGAUUACCUGUCAAUCUAAGCUUUAAUACUUGUUCUACUUCUUUCCAAUUAUUGAGACGUCAUAUGACAAUAUGCAUUUCAGUCUCUUAGGGUAGCCAAUGUUGUGUUAUGUCACCUUGUGGUUCCAUUCUUAAAUUACAUAUACAUUUUUAUAAAGGAUUUAUCUCUACAGUUUACUAGACUCCUUAAUUUCAGGAUUUUACAAGGUGCUGCUUGAUAUCUUUGACUAGGAAUUCAAUACUGCCAAGACCUGUUGACCAUCCAAUCAUUUAUCAGCUAUCUCCACAUGCCUUACCCAAUGUGCUUUAAACACAAGAAGAGAUUUCAGUUUGUUUAGACGUUUGAGUUGGACUGGAGUUCAUUUUAAGUCGUAUUUAUUUUAUGAAAAUAUAUUAGAGAGUUUGAGAUUUCUAGACACUUGCUGAACCAAUGUUGCUCCGGCCAAACGCUAUGCCACGUCCAUGGACGUUCUCCACAAUGAGUCUGGAUGAGUCAUAAUACCCUUAUAACCUAGUGGUCAAACAAGGAAAUGGUUCCAAUCGUUUUUCCACAAUUCAUUUUUCCUGUAGGGGAUUUUAGAAACACUUCAAAUUUGGUCAGUGUUUCAUGUAGGCUUACCUUGGUGUGACGUUGUGAUAACCGUGUAAAUCUCUCUAGGACAAAAACAAAGUAGAUUUUGUCCCCCGAAAAAAAGAAGAAAACAAAUUUAUCUCUAGGACAAGGUGAUUUUGAUCAAUAUAGUAGCCUGUAUUUACCCCCCAAAAAUGAAAUGCUAAUUAUCUGCUAAUGUGGCUAUCAUAAAGAACUACAAAUGCCAUGAUGAUCUGAACAAAACUGCCAAAUCGAGGCAAAGGUAAGAAUCUCUGGAUAAACUAUCUAAUGUUAGCUAAAUUGAGUAAUUAAUAAAUUGGCUACAUUUCUUUAAAUGGACAAUUCUGUGAGUCGUCUUGUGCUUGUUUUAAAUUGACACAAUACCUGUUAGCAAAGGUGUCAGCUAGAGAUGACGUGUAGGAGCUUGCAGGGAUGUGUAGUCUUGCAUUGUCUACUUUGAUACUAAUUAGCAUUUUCAAAUCUGAGUGUAAAUAUAUUGCUAAAAGUCACCUUGUCCAAGAGAGAUUUACAUGGUUGUCAAAACGUCAUGCCAGGGUAAGCCUACACGAAACACAGCCCUUAUUUCAAGUGUUUCUAAAAUUCCCUAUGGUAAAAAAUGAAUGUUGGAAAAACGAUUGAAACCAUUUCCCUGUUUCACCACUUUGUUUUAUGACACCACAACUGUGGGGCUCUAUUAUAGAAAGUACCUCCCCAAUGAUGUCUAGAAUGCAACUCAUUCAAAUCUGAUUGGUCCCAGAAACUGAAGGGUUGGGCCAGAACCAGAACAAAUUGUAAAGUGGCGUUUUUAAAAUGUGUCAUUGGCUUUGAUACUCUGAUUGGUUAGAGAUGAUCCAAUCACUGAUGACUUUGUUUUGUACAACCAUAUAAAUAAGAAUGAAUUCCACCCUUCAUUUUGACAUCACCACAAUUGACUUGACCAAUGCAGAUAUGUAUUCACCAAUGCACCAAAGUAUGUAGCGAACAUAGCGCAACGGAAUAAUUCAGUUUGUGUAGUCAGGCAAAUGCAUUUUAUUUUACAGUAAUGUUAACCUGCUGCCAAUGCCAACGGUGGUAUAUCGCUGGUGUGGGGGAGAAUCUAAUCCCUACUGAUCACCAAAAGUGUUUCUUUGGAAAUACUGUAUUUAUUUUAUUGUGCUUUUAUUAUAUUCUCUGAUGUAAGAUUUACAUCUUAGACCAGACCGUAACAUUUUGAAGUGAUAAAUUGUGUGAUACAGUACUGGAAACCAGAAUGCAACCUGUAUUCUGUUUGAUGAAAUGUCUGGUUUGAAUUGUAUAAAGUUGGAAAUGUUGAACAGGGCCGUAGGCAUGGGUGGACACAGGCCCACCCACUGGGGAGCCAGGCCCAAAAACAAAACAAAAAUUAUACAAUACAAUAUUUCUGCAGGCCCAUCCACCAACUAAUUUCUUUCUAUGCCCCUUAUGUUGUGGGGUGAUGUUCUAUCUAAACAUACUGAAGUCUUUCCCUGAUCAAAAUGUGUUUUUGUUCAGCUGAAAAACACCCAUUGGAUUUUAGACUUAUUUUUGUGCCAAUGUUCUUAAAAAAAAAAUGGAAUCGUGUAUUAUGGAUAGUGUAAUUUGAUUUCAGCGGAGUAGAAGUAGCUUUCAGUUCAGGUAAAUCUACCUUUCGAAUCUAGAAUUUAGUUGAAGACCAAACAUUGUAUGCCUUUAACUGUUAUCUUUAUCUAUAGAGUAUAUACAGUGCAUUCAGAAAGUAUUCAGACUCCUUGACUUUUUCCACAUUUGACUUUUCCUUCCAGAAGGAUAACCAUCUCUGCAGCACUCCACCAAUCAGACCUUUAUGGUUAUGUCCAGACGGAAGCCACUCAGUAAAAGACACAUGACAUCCCGCUUGGAGUUUGCCAAAAGUCAGCUAAAGGACUCUCAGACCAUGAGACACAAGAUUCUCCGGUCUGAUGAAACCAAGAUUCAACUCUUUGUCCUGAAUGACAAGCGUCAAGUCUGGAGGGAACCUGGCACCAUCCCUACGGUGAAGCAUGUUUUUCAGCUGCAGAAACUGGGAGACUAGUUAGGGUCGAGGAAAAAAAGAACAGAGCAAAGUACAAAGCGAUCCUUGAUGAAAAUCUGCUCCAGAGUGCUCAGGACCUCAGACCUCAGGUUCACCUUCCAAUAGGACAAUGACACUAAGCACACAGCCAAGACAACGCAGGAGUGGCUUUGGGACUAGUCUCUGAAUGUCCUUGAGUGGCCCAGCCAGAGCUCGGACUUGAACGCGAUCGAAAAUCUCUGGAGAGACCAGAAAAUAGAUGUGCAGCGAUGCUCCCCAUUCAACCUGACAGAGCUUUAGAGGAUCUGCAGAGAAGCAUGGGAGAAACUCCCCAAAUACAGGUGUGCUAAGCUUGUAGCGUCAUACCCAAGAAGACUCGAGGCUGUAAUUGCUGCCAAAGGUGCUUCAACAAAGUACCGAGUAAAGGGUCUGAAUGCUUAAGUAAAUGUGAUAUUUUUUUUAUUGUUUUUAUUGUUAAAUGUGAUAUUUUUUUUAUUGUUGUAAAUUUGCACACAUGUAUAACCAGGUCUGAAUACUUUCCGAAUGCAGUGUAUUUAUAAUUUUAAAAAGAUUGCACAUUAUUGAAAUAUACAAUAUCUAUUCAGACUUAAUAAAUGUGUUUAUGUGAAUUUGUCUAUUUUGGAUUUAUAUAGAUUGUUACAUUACAUACUACUGGAAAACUGGUCCCAAAUGGAUAUUUCAGCAUGUGAACAUGUGACCCUCAUAUCCUCCAGUCUUGCUGUUGCAAAGUAUUAUUCACUUCCCUGUAAUACAUAUUCUGCCACCUCA